GACGAACGCUGGCGGCGUGCUUAACACAUGCAAGUCGAACGAAGUGGCGAACGGGUGAGUAACGCGUAAUCAACCUGCCCUUCAGAGGGGGACAACAGUGAGAAACGACUGCUAAUACAGCAUACUGAAGGAGGGGAGUGCGUUGGAUUAGCUAGUUGGAGGGGUAACGGCCCACCAAGGCGAGGAACAGUAGCCGGUCUGAGAGGAUGAACGGCCACAGUGGGACGUAGACACGUCCCAGACUCCUACGGGAGGCAGCAGUGGGUAAUCUUCCGCAAUGGACGAAAGUCUGACGGAGCAACGCCGCGUGAGUGAUGACGGCCUUCGGGUUGUAAAGCUCUGUUAAUCGGGACGCGGUACCGAAAUAGAAAGCCACGGCUAACUACGUGCCAGCAGCCGCGGUAAUUC
This 408-nucleotide ribosomal RNA is filed under the name uncultured bacterium. RNAcentral's name for it is "partial 16S ribosomal RNA". It matches the Rfam family "Bacterial small subunit ribosomal RNA", at positions 28 to 526 of the family's 1533-position model. The record is from RNAcentral.